Long non-coding RNA from Bufo bufo (common toad), 153 nucleotides. RefSeq lists it as uncharacterized. The record is from RefSeq and is a predicted model, not a curated record. The transcript is spliced from 3 exons. Lineage: Eukaryota; Metazoa; Chordata; Amphibia; Anura; Bufonidae.
AUGAGGCAUUGGUAUACAAUUUGAUCAAAAAGCAUAGGCCCACUCACCACGACAAGGUUGCCUCCUCGAGUGGGAACCUACUCUAAAUUUGGUGCGGCGCUGUGUGGUGACCACCGACGCUGCAGCACUGCACCAGAUGGCGGGGGGACCCAG